Phrynosoma platyrhinos (Desert horned lizard) is the source of this 73-nucleotide non-coding RNA. NCBI's taxonomy places the organism in Eukaryota, Metazoa, Chordata, Lepidosauria, Squamata, Phrynosomatidae. The record is from the annotation of a GenBank genome assembly.
AGCUAGUGUGGUGUAGUGGCUCGAGUGUUAGACUAUGACUCUGGAGACCAGGGUUCAAUUUCCAGCUUGGCCA